AGCAGCAGCCACGGUAAUACGAAGGGUGCAAGCGUUAAUCGGAAUUACUGGGCGUAAAGCGUGCGUAGGCGGUGAGUUAAGUCUGCUGUGAAAUCCCCGGGCUCAACCUGGGAAUGGCAGUGGAUACUGGCUCGCUAGAGUGUGUCAGAGGAUGGUGGAAUUCCCGGUGUAGCGGUGAAAUGCGUAGAGAUCGGGAGGAACAUCAGUGGCGAAGGCGACUAUCUGGGCCAACACUGACACUGAGGCACGAAAGCGUGGGGAGCAAACAGGAUUAGAUACCCCAGUAGUCCCUGUCUCUUAUAC
Molecule: ribosomal RNA, 303 nt
Filed under: uncultured bacterium
Lineage: Bacteria
Description: partial 16S ribosomal RNA
Rfam family: Bacterial small subunit ribosomal RNA
Source: RNAcentral